ACGGGUGAGUAAUAUAUCGGAACGUACCCAAGAGUGGGGGAUAACGUAGCGAAAGUUACGCUAAUACCGCAUACGAUCUACGGAUGAAAGCAGGGGACCGCAAGGCCUUGUGCUUCUGGAGCGGCCGAUAUCUGAUUAGCUAGCUGGUGAGGUAAAGGCUCACCAAGGCAACGAUCAGUAGCUGGUCUGAGAGGACGACCAGCCACACUGGAACUGAGACACGGUCCAGACUCCUACGGGAGGCAGCAGUGGGGAAUUUUGGACAAUGGGGGCAACCCUGAUCCAGCAAUGCCGCGUGAGUGAAGAAGGCCUUCGGGUUGUAAAGCUCUUUUGUCAGGGAAGAAAAGGGAGUGGCUAAUAUCCAUUCCUGCUGACGGUACCUGAAGAAUAAGCACCGGCUAACUACGUGCCAGCAGCCGCGGUAAUACGUAGGGUGCAAGCGUUAAUCGGAAUUACUGGGCGUAAAGCGUGCGCAGGCGGUUUCGUAAGUCUGUCGUGAAAUCCCCGGGCUUAACCUGGGAAUGGCGAUGGAGACUGCGAGGCUAGAGUUUGGCAGAGGGGGGUAGAAUUCCACGUGUAGCA
This 582-nucleotide ribosomal RNA is filed under the name uncultured Oxalobacteraceae bacterium. RNAcentral describes it as "bacterial SSU rRNA". It matches the Rfam family "Bacterial small subunit ribosomal RNA", at positions 102 to 680 of the family's 1533-position model. The record is from RNAcentral. Lineage: Bacteria; Pseudomonadati; Pseudomonadota; Betaproteobacteria; Burkholderiales; Oxalobacteraceae.